Gallus gallus (chicken) is the source of this 1810-nucleotide long non-coding RNA. The record is from Ensembl. Lineage: Eukaryota; Metazoa; Chordata; Aves; Galliformes; Phasianidae.
CGGAUGUCAGCGGUAGCGUUGCGCCGGAGGAAGCCUGUCGAGAAGGCAGUUCUUUAUUUAUAGAAGGGUGAGGGAUGUCUCCCAAAAAUCUAAGAGGAGCGGAGACAGAGUGGAGCCCUGCUGCGUGGGGAAAGAAUCCGUUUCCUAUCCAGAUAGAAGAAACGCAUCAUAGCGAGGAGCAGCCUGGUGGGAGGGAGUGAACCCGUGAGCCCCGUUCUCUUCAGGAGUGCCAGGAUGUGCCAAAGCAGAUGGCCUCAGUCAGGCAGGUGUCUCCCUGGAGGGCAGAUCCCAGCUCUAACUCAUACACCUACUGCAAGUGUUUCUGAGGCUUAGGGAAAGCCACCCUGCCGAGGACCUGGGUAUUUGGCUAGGCCUGUCAGCACGGGGAAUGCAGCCCUCAGGAACGCCAGCAGAGAAUGCCUGGUUUGCUCAGUAAUUGCAUUGCCUGGGAAAUGGCUGUCAGUCUGAGCAAGUUCCUCCUGGCCUUCGUUUGACUGGUCUCAGAAGUGACUUUCUGUUCCUGCUUCAGUAUUCUUUCUUUUUAAUAUACACUACCAGAACAGAGCACAGUGUUCUUGACAGUAUCAUGCCAGACACAAGGACAGUGGUAUUAAUCCAUUCUAAACUAUGUUAGGAAUAUUGCUCCCAAGACCUCUUAUGGCCUUGUUUUCCAUGUCAUGUUGGCAGCUCUUCUGGGGUCAGCUACUGUGUGCAGUGAGACUUCCCUCUCUCACUUCUCUCCCAAACUUCAAAGAAGGUUGGUCAGGGUCUACCUUUCUUUGCUGUCCCUUCUGUAUAAAAUGUAGGGACUGCAGACAAAACUAGCUGGUGAUAAAUGCAAAACAACGAAGAGAGGUAAUUAGUGUCAUGUCAGAGAAAUACAGAAUGGCUCGGGUUGGAAGGGACCUUAAAGAUUACCAGGCUCCAACCCCACUGCUGUAGGUUUAUUGCCUCCAAUUAGAUCAGGCUGCCCAGGGCCUCAUUCAGCCUGACCUUGAAUAUCUCCAGGGAUGGGGCAUCCACAACUUCUCUGGGCAGUCUGUUCCAGGGCCUCACCACUCUGAGUAAAUAAUCUCCUCCUCAUGUUUUACCUAAAUCUCCCCUCUCUUAGUUUAAAACCAUCCCACCUUGUCCUAUUCCUACAUCCCCUGACAAAGAAUCAGUCAUCAGCCUCCUAGAGCCAUAUUGAGGAACUAUAAUCUUGUGGAGAUGAACAACAUCAUCCAUACUUUGCAUUUGAAAUGUUAGAAUUUGAGCUCACACGUCCUCAGUGAUGGCAGAGCAACACUUACAGUGAUCAGUACAAACAGGGAAAAGUCCAGCGAUGUAAGAGGUACAGAAGCAUUUGUCAGAUUAGGUUUGAGAGCAAGUCCUUGUGUUGAGCCUUCAGCUCAAACCAUAAAGGCUUUGAAAGUGUAUUUGGUAGAGCAGAAUGAAUUCAGUAUAUCCCGCUGCUUUUAAGAAAUAUUUGUUCAAGAAAUAGUAAUCUCUGCAUACUGUGAGAAAUUAGGGCCCAAUGGAUUCCAUACAGUAUAAACCAGAAGCACCAACCUCACCUUCAACCUGACCCUGCUUGUCUUCUGUAAAAAAAAUUGCAUCUCUCAUUAAAAAAUAUUUAAUGUGUUUUUCAGCAGAGGAUUUCUUUCAAGGGUUCAUGCUGCAGCUGUCGAAUAGCAGUGAGAAAAUGUAGGUUUCAAGUUUUUAUUACUUGUGUGUGUGUUUGCGUUUAUCCUUAAUUGCAACAAAACAGAUGUCAUUUCUUAAGAGUGGGAGAAAAAACAGAAGGGUCCUAAAUAUUUUCCUACAGCAC